Molecule: ribosomal RNA, 582 nt
Filed under: uncultured bacterium
Lineage: Bacteria
Description: bacterial SSU rRNA
Rfam family: Bacterial small subunit ribosomal RNA (bases 74-582)
Source: RNAcentral
AUGUAUACGACUCACUAUAGGGCGAAUUGGGCCCGACGUCGCAUGCUCCCGGCCGCCAUGGCGGCCGCGGGAAUUCGAUUAGAGUUUGAUCAUGGCUCAGGACGAACGCUGGCGGCGUGCCUAACACAUGCAAGUCGAACGGAGCUGGGGGCAACUCCAGCCGAGUGGCGGACGGGUGCGUAACACGUAAGCAACGUGUCUAUCGGCGGGGAAUAGCCGGCCCAACGGCCGGGUAAUACCGCAUGUUGUCGCUCGGGGCAUCCCGUGGCGACGAAAGGGGGGGGCAACUCUCUCACCGGUAGAGCGGCUUGCGGCCUAUCAGCUAGUUGGUGAGGUCACGGCUUACCAAGGCGACGACGGGUAGCUGGUCUGAGAGGAUGACCAGCCACAUUGGGACUGAGACACGGCCCAGACUCCUACGGGAGGCAGCAGUGGGGAAUCUUGCGCAAUGGGCGAAUGCCUGACGCAGCGACGCCGCGUGUGGGAUGAAGGUCUUCGGAUCGUAAACCACUGUCGGGGGGGACGAAGGCCCGGCGCCUCAUAAGCGACCGGGAUGACGGUACCCUCAAAGGAAGCACCGCU